GGUGCCAUGGUGAACUAGCUAGCAGUCUGGACUUUGAAUCCAGCUAUCCGAGUUCAAGUUUCGGUGGGACCU
Molecule: transfer RNA, 72 nt
Filed under: Strongylocentrotus purpuratus (purple sea urchin)
Lineage: Eukaryota; Metazoa; Echinodermata; Echinoidea; Camarodonta; Strongylocentrotidae
Rfam family: tRNA
About the family: Transfer RNA (tRNA) molecules are approximately 80 nucleotides in length.
Source: Rfam by way of RNAcentral